AGGCUAAACAUGCAGUUAAGCGCGCUUCGGGUGAGCCCGGGAUGUAUUAUAACGCGUGGGAACGUGCCCUUCUCUACGGAAUAGCCUCUGGAAACGGAGAGUAAUACCGUAUACGCCCUUUGGGGGAAAGAUUUAUCGGAGAAGGAUCGGCCCGCGUUAGAUUACGUAGUUGGUGGGGUAACGGCCUACCAAGCCUACGAUCUAUAGCUGGUUUUAGAGGAUGAUCAGCAACACUGGGACUGAGACACGGCCCAGACUCCUACGGGAGGCAGCAGUGGGGAAUCUUAGACAAUAGGGGCAACCCUGAUCUAGCCAUGCCGCG
This 322-nucleotide ribosomal RNA is filed under the name uncultured Paracoccaceae bacterium. RNAcentral's name for it is "bacterial SSU rRNA". It matches the Rfam family "Bacterial small subunit ribosomal RNA", at positions 44 to 401 of the family's 1533-position model. The record is from RNAcentral. Lineage: Bacteria; Pseudomonadati; Pseudomonadota; Alphaproteobacteria; Rhodobacterales; Paracoccaceae.